GCGUGCGGGAAGAAGGCCUUCGGGUUGUAAACCGCUUUUGUCAGGGAAGAAAAGGGUGUUUCUAAUAAAGACGCCUCAUGACGGUACCUGAAGAAUAAGCACCGGCUAACUACGUGCCAGCAGCCGCGGUAAUACGUAGGGUGCAAGCGUUAAUCGGAAUUACUGGGCGUAAAGCGUGCGCAGGCGGUUAUGCAAGACAGAGGUGAAAUCCCCGGGCUCAACCUGGGAACUGCCUUUGUGACUGCAUAGCUAGAGUACGGUAGAGGGGGAUGGAAUUCCGCGUGUAGCAGUGAAAUGCGU
This 300-nucleotide ribosomal RNA is filed under the name uncultured bacterium. RNAcentral's name for it is "bacterial SSU rRNA". It matches the Rfam family "Bacterial small subunit ribosomal RNA", at positions 399 to 691 of the family's 1533-position model. The record is from RNAcentral.